GAGGCUUAUAGUGAGAAUCCAGAGUUAGCUGAAUUCUUGGUACAAGCUUGUAUUUCAGGAGAUCGCUCAGAAACAGAAGUCAUCAUCAGGCCAUCACCAAGGACUGGCCCACUUUAUCUCCAGCUUUGGCAAAAGAAGAUAGGAAGUCAGUGGUUGUACUGAAAUGAACUCAAGAAGAAACCACUUACACAUUUAUAGCCAUGUGAAAAAAACAACCCACACCAAAUUA
Molecule: long non-coding RNA, 229 nt
Organism: Erinaceus europaeus (western European hedgehog)
Lineage: Eukaryota; Metazoa; Chordata; Mammalia; Eulipotyphla; Erinaceidae
Exons: 2
Source: RefSeq, a predicted model, not a curated record